Labeo rohita (rohu) is the source of this 841-nucleotide long non-coding RNA. RefSeq lists it as uncharacterized. Lineage: Eukaryota; Metazoa; Chordata; Actinopteri; Cypriniformes; Cyprinidae. The record is from RefSeq and is a predicted model, not a curated record. The transcript is spliced from 3 exons.
UUUGUACUGGUGAAGUUAUAUUUACAACACUGUACCAGAAUAGUACAACACAAAUAGAGUGGGUGCUGUGCAUUUUAAAGAGGACUGUUUCCUGAACCUGGGAGAGUAGCCUACAAUGCCUGCUGUACACAAAGGGUUAAGGCUAUAAAGUGGGGCAAUUCCAACUUUGCAAGGACAGUCUGGCACUUCUGACUCACAAACUGUUUACUGAAGAAGCCUGGUGCAGCCAAAAGCGCAGCAUCGACAGCUAUGCAGGAAGCCACACUGGACUCCUAUUUUGUGUCUGAAAACAAGGCCCUCAAAUUCAAUCCAUGUUGAGAAGAUUAAGAGGCUCUUCAGUGGCAUUCCUGCUCCAUAUGGCUACAAGGUGCCUGCCUCUCUUUGGUCUGAAAGGGGCUUGAAACGUCGUGCCAAGGGAGUGGAGUACCUGUCUCUAGGAGAUAAAGGGAAUGCUGUCUAUUUUCAGUUCAACAUACAUCAGUGGACAAGUCUUCUGAUAUGAAGAAGGAUCUAUUCUAAAGCAUUCUGGUACAGAAACAUCGAUAACAUUUUACAAUAAUGUGUCAUUUGUUAAUAUUAGUUAAUGUAUUAACUAACAUGAACAAACAAUGAUUAAUACAUUUAUUACAUUAUUUUUUAAUCUUUGUUAAAGCUAAUUCAUAAAAACACAGUCAUUCAUUGUUUGUUCAUGCUAGUUCACAGUGCAUUUACUACUGUUAACAAACACACCUUGUAAUUUUAAUAAUGCAUGGGUAAAUGCUAAAGUUAACAUUAACUACGAUUAAUAAAUGCAGUAGAAAUAUUGUUCAUUCUUAGUUCAUGUUAACUAAUGAACCUUAUU